CACUUGAUAUCAAUGGUCGACCUGCAAAAUUUGGCCUACCCAUAUAACAUGCUGAAAAUUGUACCAAAAACACGGUGUGAAAUAAAGCUAUAAUAACAAAAUUUGAUGCUACUGACAUGUUUUAUAAGUAGUAUGUAGAUGCGAAUAUAAAUGAAGAUCAAGAAAAUCGAAGGGCAGAGAUAUGGAUUUAAUAAAUAAAACACCAUCGGAAAUAUCAAAGAUAGAUAAAGAAUAACAGAAUAAAAGACAAAGAAGCACAAUAUCGAAGAUAUAUACGUAAAUUGUGGUUCUACUAUGUAUUAGACGUAUUUUGCUUGUAUCUUUCUAAGAGGUAAAAUUCUGGGAUCAUUGCAAGACAAACUACAGCGAAAUUAUUUACCAAGAAUGUUUUCAUCGAUCAGGAGUGAAGGUCACGGUUUCGUAGACGACCAGAUACAGCCGUAUUUCUGACCAAAAUCGACGCCAACUGACGAUUCACGAUGGUUCUAGUCUGGAUAUUGUUAGCAGUCACGGGGAAACGUUCACGUCUUUAGGCUUCAGGGAAAUACGGUUACAAUAUUGAAAAUUAGAGGAAUUGAUUGAAAGUCACCGUCAGGAGGAUCUAGAGGUUGAAAGCAUUUUGUUGAUGCAGUGGAUGUUGGUGCAUGAUCAUUCUUAGCUGCUGGUGCUCUUAGAUCUCCGGAGCAAUGUGUGAGCUACAAUAACGGUGUUAGCAAGUCUGGGGGCCUAGCGAGAAAGGGAUAGGCGAACUGUUUUAUCACUGUCGUGAUUGGGUUCGGGGGUCUUGCAAUUAUUCCCUGUGAAGUAGAAAUUCCUAGUAAGUACGAAGCAUAAAUCGUUUCACCUACAGGGGCAAUG
Molecule: non-coding RNA, 858 nt
Filed under: Trichobilharzia regenti
Lineage: Eukaryota; Metazoa; Platyhelminthes; Trematoda; Strigeidida; Schistosomatidae
Description: Eukaryotic small subunit ribosomal RNA
Rfam family: Eukaryotic small subunit ribosomal RNA
Source: Rfam by way of RNAcentral